RNAcentral lists this long non-coding RNA (3277 nucleotides) under Gallus gallus (chicken). The record is from RNAcentral. Lineage: Eukaryota; Metazoa; Chordata; Aves; Galliformes; Phasianidae.
GAAUGACUUUGUGCAUUGUGCAUAUGAAUAUUAUUGGCAGAGCUAUUUGUUUCACCUUUAGUAAGAAAGGGAGCAAAAUAUGAAGGAAAUAUCAUGGCAUUUAUAGGUUAACAGAAUUAGGAUUUUGCUUUUUAGGUUGCUUUUUUUUUUUUUUUUUUUUUUUUGAUUCUUUCUGUUGCUUGAGUCAGUGGCAUUUGGGGCUCAACAUAUGCUGGUUUAGCCUUGCAAGAGGCUAUGGAGUGCCUGUGUUGAUCUUGGGAGGGGUACAGAGAGCUUGGCAGGGUUGCUGCAGUGGGAAUUAUAUCAUAUUUUGUAUUCAGGCAACCUACAGUGGCACUCCCAACAUUACUGUUCAUAGGCACACGCUCUGCUCUCCUGAUGCUCCGAGGGCAAUGCAGGGCUGGAGGGGGGCAUUUUGCACAACUUCCUUAUGCCUUGGAAAAACUCUACAGGAAUACCUACAUCAGUGAAGCCACACAAAGGCAAACUGACGCAGUGGGGCUGUAAGUGUGCAGCAGAGGACGACCACAGUUCAAGGAGAGGCUGGGUUCUCAGAGCCGUGAUAUCUUCAGGUCUAAAGGAUCAAGAUUGAGCAGGAUUUGAUGGACUUCAGCCUCUGAUGAGGUGCUUAUGAGACUACAGAAUAGGGCCUAAAUUAGUAAUCAGGCACAAUGAGGAAUAAAGUCCUCGGAGAGAGAAGAAGAGGAAAUUUAACACUAGAAAAGGAUAAAGAACAGAAGAGAAAAUGAGAAAAGGUGAUGCAAUCUAAGAUCAAACAAAAUCUACGUGUUUCUCUUACUGCUGGUACUUCUCUUAUUUCACAGGCUUUGCUGAUCUCAUGUACUCCUCCACCAUAAAAAGCUGCUCGCAGUUACAGUGAUGUUUCUAGAAGAGGAAACUUCAGGGUUGAGUUUCUCCUUUAGACGGUGCAAGUGCUCCCUGUAUUCUAUUCUUCAACCAUACAAAUGCUUAUAAAAUAGAAAUGUGAAUUGCCUCGGUGCUUUUAAAUACCUUAAAAAUAAUAAUUCAGGGACUCCUGUAUGAGAUGGAGCUGUCCCUCACUGCUUUAACCUGUGGAGUAGGUUAGCAUAACAUGGAAUCAAUUAUUGUACUAGACAUAUAAAACUGUCAGGUUUAAUACUUAACUGUAGUAUUUGCCUUGAAUGCUUGAUUUCCAGUCAUGUGUGAAGCUCCAGAAAGACAGAGAUAUCAGACAGAUUUUGGUGGAAGAAAUGACUUUGAGUACCCCGAGUUACAAAGGGAAAUCUGGAUGAGUGAUACACCCUGGGAAAGGAGUCCUUUUUCAAUCAAACACUUCCCAGUCCCUUAAAGUAAAGUAACGCAGAACACAAACUGCAGAACAAAUAUUAAGUUUCUAUUCUGCAUUGCCAUAGUUGAGACACCAUCUCAUUUCUUUCUCAGCUUCUCUGGAACCAGCUCUGCUUUAGCUGGAACAUUCUACCAAUUCUUUUCCUUUUUUUUUUUCUUAUUUCUGUACACAGAAGGAGAGAAUCAAACACAAAAGAUCUGCCUUGACUUUCACGGCUCUUCUAAUGCUUACAACUAAGCUUUAUUAUAUUAUUUAUUAUACACAAUGGAAAUAAUUAUUAUUACAGUCUUUCCUCUGUCAUGUGCUUUAUUACAUGACCUUGUUAUGGCCAAGGUUGCAAUCUGACAGUGUGCACUGCAUCGGUAGCGGUGACUGCUGGCAGGGAGUCCUUGGUUUGGGACUCUAAAACUGAUGGAUUAAACAGCAUUAAGGACAGUGAAGUGCUAAUACUGCGGUAAUGGACACUGUAAUAUUUCAAAAUAGCUCACAAGUAGAACCAAAACAAUCCAUUGGGCCACUCAAAUCAUGCAGGGUCUGGUUGGAAGCUCCUGGCCAUCUGACACCUUUGGUGUAUUGCUGUAAGUCCAGAAGCACUUGCUACCUGUAGUCCAUAAUAAGUUGGUAACAAAGAGUGAUAACAGUAUGAAGUGGAAGAGAUAUUCAUCUUGGCGUAUUUCAAUCUAGAAGUGACAAUCCUGGAUUGAUUCAUUCUCUGAGGAAUAAACCUCCUCUUACAAAAAAAAAAAAAGAAAAGAAAAAACAAGUUUAAAGAAACCAGGAUUUAUCCUCAAGAUCACCACUCAUUUUCUUUUAGAAAUUACAUUCUAGACAAUAAGAGAUCACAGACCUGUAAAUUGCAUUUUAACUUUCAGGUAACAUACUAGGGCUAUAACAAAAUCUGAGGACUAUUAUCAUAGCAAAAUAACUGUAAUGCUUCAAGGCUGUAAUAACCAUCUCCUUUUUAUCAUCCAUACUACCAUCAGGCCAAGAAACAGUGAAUUUCUUUAAUGUUAUUCUGCCAUAACCUUUAACUGUAUGCAUUAUUUCAAACACCUGGAAUAAUACUUUAUAUGGCACAACAGAAUAAUACAUUUGCCACUCACUGCACAGCAUAGUUGGCUAAACCCAAAUGAGUACAAAUGCUUAAAUCUGCUGUGCGUAUCGUAGAUAUACAUCCAUUCCUUCUACUGUGCUGUGGACUGACCUUUACGUGACAAGGAAGUUGAAGGAACAUUAGAAAGCAUAAGGUUUGUACUUAAAGUCAAUGAAGGCUCUUUCAGUUAUAUCAUCAUUAUAAAACUGUACUGCUUACCUGGUUUUGGGAGGGCUGUACUUGGCUAGCUCACACACACUUUAUGUGGAAUCUACAGCAUAAAUACUCUGUGGGUUCAUUAUAAAAAUAUGUUUGUGAUAUACCUUUCUGGUGUCCUUUGUGUUCUUUCAUGAAGUGUUUAUUCCUGUUAUAUCAAGCAUAAUGCAUAAUACCAACACCAUACAUAGAGCAUCUUGAUAAAUAAUCAUGCAUAUGCUCCAGUGGUUUUCUACAUAAAUGCUCCUAUAUAUAAGUUACUACAGCCCAGGGCUCUGAAUGGAUCAAAUUUGUAAACACAUCACUAUAUUUCUUACCUCUAUUGAAGUGUAUUAUGAUAGCAGUGCUGGCAUUUAUCUAGACUGUUGAUAUAAAGGUUUCUACCCACACGAGCAAUGCAUAUUGCAUUAUGCAAUUCUGUAAUAAACUGCUUGAAAUAUUACCAGAGACAGAGCAUGCUGGAAAACAUUGAGUGAGCCCUGAGGUGGAAUGGUUCCUACUGAGUACAGAGCACUUUGGAUCAGGCCUUGGAGGAUACUACCUAUAAAAUAACACGUUUGAAGAACUUAAUUGUGAUUUCCUCAAUGUCACCCUGUCACUCUGAAAACCGGAUGCUUUAGUUCAAUGAAAGGUCUCAG